AUUGAACGCUGRCGGCAGGCCUAACACAUGCAAGUCGAGCGGCAGCACAGAGGAACUUGUUCCUUGGGUGGCGAGCGGCGGACGGGUGAGUAAUGCCUGGGAAAUUGCCCGGUAGAGGGGGAUAACCAUUGGAAACGAUGGCUAAUACCGCAUAACCUCGCAAGAGCAAAGCAGGGGACCUUCGGGCCUUGCGCUACCGGAUAUGCCCAGGUGGGAUUAGCUAGUUGGUGAGGUAAGGGCUCACCAAGGCGACGAUCCCUAGCUGGUCUGAGAGGAUGAUCAGCCACACUGGAACUGAGACACGGUCCAGACUCCUACGGGAGGCAGCAGUGGGGAAUAUUGCACAAUGGGCGCAAGCCUGAUGCAGCCAUGCCGCGUGUAUGAAGAAGGCCUUCGGGUUGUAAAGUACUUUCAGUAGGGAGGAAGGUGGUUAAGUUAAUACCUUAAUCAUUUGACGUUACCUACAGAAGAAGCACCGGCU
This 481-nucleotide ribosomal RNA is filed under the name Vibrio sp. LMG 19996. Its description in RNAcentral is "bacterial SSU rRNA". It matches the Rfam family "Bacterial small subunit ribosomal RNA", at positions 30 to 498 of the family's 1533-position model. The record is from RNAcentral. Lineage: Bacteria; Pseudomonadati; Pseudomonadota; Gammaproteobacteria; Vibrionales; Vibrionaceae.